GGCGUCGCGCUUACCAUUCAAGCCGAGCGGGCAUGCAAUAUGGUCAGCGGCAGACGGGUGAGUAACGCGCUGGGAACGUACCUUUUGGUUCGGAACAACUGAGGGAAACUUCAGCUAAUACCGGAUAAGCCCUUACGGGGAAAGAUUUAUCGCCGAAAGAUCGGCCCGCGUCUGAUUAGCUAGGUUGGUGAGGUAAUGGCUCACCAAGGAGACGAUCAGUAUCUGGACUGAUAGGAUGAUCAGCCACUUUGGGACUGAGACACCCCCCAUUCUCGAGCCCAGCCCCAAUAUGGCUUGGC
This 299-nucleotide ribosomal RNA is filed under the name Bradyrhizobium elkanii. RNAcentral's name for it is "partial 16S ribosomal RNA". It matches the Rfam family "Bacterial small subunit ribosomal RNA", at positions 38 to 349 of the family's 1533-position model. Lineage: Bacteria; Pseudomonadati; Pseudomonadota; Alphaproteobacteria; Hyphomicrobiales; Nitrobacteraceae. The record is from RNAcentral.